UACAGGGGGUGCAAACGUUGCUCGGAAUCAUUGGGCGUAAAGCGCACGUAGGCGGUCUGUUAUGUCGGAUGUGAAAGCCCUUGGCUUAACUGAGGAAGUGCAUCCGAAACUGGCAGGCUAGAGUACUAAAGAGGGUCGCGGAAUUCCCGGUGUAGAGGUGAAAUUCGUAGAUAUCAGGAAGAACACCCGUGGCGAAGGCGGCUCUCUGGGACGGUACUGACGCUGAGACGCGAAAGCGUGGGGAGCGAACAGG
This 253-nucleotide ribosomal RNA is filed under the name uncultured bacterium. RNAcentral describes it as "partial 16S ribosomal RNA". It matches the Rfam family "Bacterial small subunit ribosomal RNA", at positions 524 to 776 of the family's 1533-position model. The record is from RNAcentral.